This 253-nucleotide ribosomal RNA is filed under the name uncultured bacterium. RNAcentral describes it as "partial 16S ribosomal RNA". It matches the Rfam family "Bacterial small subunit ribosomal RNA", at positions 524 to 776 of the family's 1533-position model. The record is from RNAcentral.
UACGAAGGGUGCAAACGUUGCUCGGAAUUAUUGGGCGUAAAGCGCACGUAGGCGGCUUAGCAAGUCGGACGUGAAAGCCCUCGGCUCAACCAAGGAAGUGCUUUCGAAACUGCUGAGCUUGAGUAGUUAAGAGGAUCGCGGAAUUCCCGGUGUAGAGGUGAAAUUCGUAGAUAUCGGGAGGAACACCAGUGGCGAAGGCGGCGAUCUGGGAACAUACUGACGCUGAGGUGCGAAAGCGUGGGGAGCAAACAGG